RNAcentral lists this ribosomal RNA (568 nucleotides) under uncultured organism. RNAcentral describes it as "bacterial SSU rRNA". It matches the Rfam family "Bacterial small subunit ribosomal RNA", at positions 158 to 697 of the family's 1533-position model. The record is from RNAcentral.
AGGUGCUAAUACCGAAUACCAUCGGAAUGUCGCAUGGCAUACCGAUGAAAGGCGGCCUCUGCUUGCAAGCUGUCGCUGAAAGAUGGUCUCGCGUCCCAUUAGCUAGUUGGUGGGGUAAUGGCCCACCAAGGCGACGAUGGGUAGCCGGCCUUAGCGGGUGACCGGCCACACUGGGACUGAGAUACGGCCCAGACUCCUACGGGAGGCAGCAGUCGAGAGGCAUCCACAAUGGGGGAAACCCUGAUGGUGCGACGCCGCGUGGGUGAUGAAGGUUCUCGGAUCGUAAAACCCUUUCAGUAAGGACGAAGGUUGUGACCGUUAAUAAGCGGUCACUGGAAGACGGUACUUACAUAAGAAGCUCUGGCUAACUCCGUGCCAGCAGCCGCGGUAAGACGGGGGGAGCAAGCGUUGUUCGGAUUUACUGGGCGUAAAGGGCGUCUAGGCGGGAUGGACAGUCAGAUGUGAAAUCCCACGGGUCAACCGUGGGGAUUGCCUUUGAUACUGCCAUCCUUGAGUACGGAAGAGGAAAGCGGAAUUCCUGGGUGUAGCGCGUGAAGUGCGUAGAUAU